Molecule: ribosomal RNA, 26 nt
Filed under: Stilesia globipunctata
Lineage: Eukaryota; Metazoa; Platyhelminthes; Cestoda; Cyclophyllidea; Anoplocephalidae
Description: partial 28S ribosomal RNA
Source: RNAcentral
AGGUAGGUGUCUCGGUCUUGGAUAUC